GAUCCUGGCUCAGAUUGAACGCUGGCGGAAAUGCUUUACACAUGCAAGUCGAACGGUAGAGGGGGCAACCCCUUGAGAGUGGCGAACGGGUGAGUAAUAUAUCGGAACGUGCCCAGUCGUGGGGGAUAACGUAGCGAAAGUUACGCUAAUACCGCAUACGAUCUAAGGAUGAAAGCGGGGGAUCGCAAGACCUCGCGCGAUUGGAGCGGCCGAUAUCAGAUUAGGUAGUUGGUGGGGUAAAGGCUCACCAAGCCAACGAUCUGUAGCUGGUCUGAGAGGAUGAUCCGCCACACUGGAACUGAGACACGGUCCAGACUCCUACGGGAGGCAGCAGUGGGGAAUUUUGGACAAUGGGGGCAACCCUGAUCCAGCCAUGCCGCGUGAGUGAAGAAGGCCUUCGGGUUGUAAAGCUCUUUCGGCCGGGAAGAAAUCGUAUGGGUUAAUACCCUGUGCGGAUGACGGUACCGGCAUAAGAAGCACCGGCUAACUACGUG
This 494-nucleotide ribosomal RNA is filed under the name uncultured bacterium. Its description in RNAcentral is "bacterial SSU rRNA". It matches the Rfam family "Bacterial small subunit ribosomal RNA", at positions 15 to 507 of the family's 1533-position model. The record is from RNAcentral.